GUCAAUUGAGGUGUUAAUUGAUGAAAGGAAGCCUUUAAAGCUUCGCUUGUAGAUGAGUCUGCGUCUUAUUAGCUAGUUGGUGGGAUAAGAGCCUACCAAGGCUAUGAUAAGUAACCGGCCUGAGAGGGUGAUCGGUCACACUGGAACUGAGAUACGGUCCAGACUCCUACGGGAGGCAGCAGCUAAGAAUCUUCCGCAAUGGGCGAAAGCCUGACGGAGCGACACUGCGUGAACGAAGAAGGUCGAAAGAUUGUAAAGUUCUUUUAUAAGUGAGGAAUAAGCUUUGUAGGAAAUGACAAAGUGAUGACGUUAAUUUAUGAAUAAGCCCCGGCUAAUUACGUGCCAGCAGCCGCGGUAAUACGUAAGGGGCGAGCGUUGUUCGGGAUCAUUGGGCGUAAAGGGUGAGUAGGCGGAUAUGCAAGUCUAUGUGUAAAAUACCACAGCUCAACUGUGGAACUAUGCUGGAAACUGCAUGACUAGAGUCUGAUAGGGGAAGUUAGAAUUCCUGGUGUAAGGGUGGAAUCUGUUGAUAUCAGGAAGAAUACCAGAGGCGAAGGCGAACUUCUAGGUCAAGACUGACGCUGAGUCACGAAAGCGUAGGGAGCAAACAGGAUUAGAUACCCUGGUAGUCUACGCUGUAAACGAUGCACACUUGGUGUUAAUCGAAAGGUUAGUACCGAAGCUAACGUGUUAAGUGUGCCGCCUGGGGAGUAUGUUCGCAAGAAUGAAACUCAAAGGAAUUGACGGGGGCCCGCACAAGCGGUGGAGCAUGUGGUUUAAUUCGAUGAUACGCGAGGAACCUUACCAGGGCUUGACAUAUACAGGAUAUAGUUAGAGAUGACUAUUCCCCGUUUGGGGUCUGUAUACAGGUGCUGCAUGGUUGUCGUCAGCUCGUGCCGUGAGGUGUUGGGUUAAGUCCCGCAACGAGCGCAACCCUUAUUGUCUGUUACCAGCAUGUAAAGAUGGGGACUCAGACGAGACUGCCGGUGAUAAGCCGGAGGAAGGUGAGGAUGACGUCAAAUCAUCAUGGCCCUUAUGUCCUGGGCUACACACGUGCUACAAUGGCCUGUACAAAGCGAUGCGAAACAGUGAUGUGAAGCAAAACGCAGAAAGCAGGUCUCAGUCCAGAUUGAAGUCUGAAACUCGGC
Molecule: ribosomal RNA, 1148 nt
Filed under: Borrelia miyamotoi
Lineage: Bacteria; Pseudomonadati; Spirochaetota; Spirochaetia; Spirochaetales; Borreliaceae
Description: bacterial SSU rRNA
Rfam family: Bacterial small subunit ribosomal RNA
Source: RNAcentral